Molecule: small RNA, 135 nt
Filed under: Salmonella enterica
Lineage: Bacteria; Pseudomonadati; Pseudomonadota; Gammaproteobacteria; Enterobacterales; Enterobacteriaceae
Also listed under: 1 other name
Description: partial RtT sRNA
Rfam family: RtT RNA
About the family: This family represents a bacterial cis-regulatory element known as RtT RNA.
Source: RNAcentral
AUUGGUCGCAGGUUCGAAUCCUGCACGACCCACCAAUAUACAAGGUGGUAACUGGUAGAGAACGUGAAGGAUAAUGUUGCUUUAGCAACGGCCCGAAGGGCGAGGCAAAGCCGAGUCAUCCUGCACGACCCACCA